GUGAUCUGGUCCGUGACAUCCUCUUUGUCUCUGCCGAAUGGAUUCCUCUGCAUGUGGGAUUAGUGGAGGUGGGGUGGGAAGGAAUGGGAAGAUGUGUUAGGGAGGCUUAAGUCACUGGGUCACUUGGAAGGUGUGACCUGUAUCCAUCCAAAGAUUGAAUAGGGCAAUGGGAGAAGAUUGUGAAUCCAUAAGGCUAGUGUGCCUCUCACUUGUCUAAAACAAAGAUGAAAUAAGCCUACCUAUCCAACAUGAAAAGAAAAGAACAAGCUUAGUUACCUGUGAGAAGGCCUUCAUCCCUUCUUCCGCCUGGUCCCCAGCACUGCUGGCUGUCCACCCAGGGGUCAGGGUGGGGUCGGGGGGCAGGCAACAGGUGGCAGAAGCCCACUCCCAGCAUGGCAGCUCCACAGGGUGGCGACAACAAGGGCACAGCACGGCACACACAGGCGUACUGGUAGAGCGGUGGUGGGCAGAAUGGGUGCCACCACGGGAAGCAUGGGACACACCAUCCCCUUCCUCAUCCAGUACACAUCGCCCUGCCCCCUCUCCACCUCCUACACAGCGCCCACACAGGGUAUGGGAGCAUGGUAGGAGAAGGGCAACGUCAAAACCACGCCUACAGGACGGGCAUAGAGAAGAUUUAGCCAAAUCAUGGUGACCCUCCUCUUCUCCCUUCUCUUCCUCUUCUUGUUCCGCCUCUUUUCUCUCCUGUUCUUCCUCACCUUGCUGAUUGUCGAUCUUUUGUUGUGUUCCGUCAAGACGGGGUGGUGUCCUACGCAUUAUUGGCAGAUGAAAAGUUGAGUUGAAUGCAUUUAUAGCUCAAUAUCAUAUCACAUUUGUCAAAUUUCUUUUGCCUUCACCAAAGCAAAGGUCAGCAUAGUGAACCUGUCUCUACAGUCGACAUGUACUGUCGACAAUUCAGUAGUAAGGGGGCCAUCCCUGAAUCAAGUCUUUAACCAUUACAGUAUUCCGAGAGCCUUUCCUUGGCCAACACAAAGGACACAUGCUCUCCUAUCCUCCUUAGAAAUACACAAUGAGGAGAGAUCCCCCACUGUACAAAGAUAUCCUUUUCUAGUAGAUUUCAAAAGAGAUUUUUCCUCAACAGGUCACAAAGAUAUCCAACUCUGGUAAAUCAAAGAUCCUCUUCUUUGACAGAUCAAAGAUGUCCCCCACACAGAUGGAUGAUGGAUGACACAGUAGGCUGCAUUCACACGGAGUGAGAUGUUAGAGCUAGACAUAUUUCUGUCCUUUUCUUCUGCCUCACUUUUGCUGUUCUAUCUAUCUCCCUAUGCUGAUGUUGAGCAUGCUGUGCUACGUAGGUUGGCAAGACAAACAGAGGAAAAUAAAAUAAAUGAAACGGAGAAAGAGAAAGGCAAAUAGGAGAAAGAGAGAGAGAGAGCUACAGCCAGAGAAGAGAGCAGCCUUUUAUUAGACACUCAUU
Long non-coding RNA from Oncorhynchus tshawytscha (Chinook salmon), 1438 nucleotides. The record is from Ensembl. Lineage: Eukaryota; Metazoa; Chordata; Actinopteri; Salmoniformes; Salmonidae.